GCGCCCUUGGCCGAGCGGAUGAGGCAGCGAACUCAUAAUUCGCCUCAGAGUGGUUCAACUCCACUAGGGCGCA
RNAcentral lists this transfer RNA (73 nucleotides) under Planktothricoides sp. SpSt-374. Its description in RNAcentral is "tRNA-Met". It matches the Rfam family "tRNA". Rfam says of the family: Transfer RNA (tRNA) molecules are approximately 80 nucleotides in length. Their secondary structure includes four short double-helical elements and three loops (D, anti-codon, and T loops). The record is from RNAcentral. Lineage: Bacteria; Bacillati; Cyanobacteriota; Cyanophyceae; Oscillatoriales; Oscillatoriaceae. RNAcentral also lists the same sequence under 1 other name.